UUUCUUUUUUUGUGUUUGCUCCCUUUUAGCUCACAGGUGAAUGAUAUGGAGGACCUCGACAGAGCAGUCAGCCAGCAGCCUUAGGAGUAAACAUGACAGAUGCUGAUGGACCCUGACACAGAGAGAUAAGCAUACUCCCAGAAUCUCAGUCUGCUGUCCGCUCCAGUGCCGGUUCUGCCUUUCAUUCCCACCGCACAAGCCACGCUGCAGCCCAUGAUCAGCAGUCACUCACAUCCAGAGCGCAGCCCGCUGAUAGCCUGUGGCCUGCAAAUAUGUGGACUCUUCAUCAUGUUAACUGGUAUCGGUUCCUCUGGUGGGCGGACCGGGCGGAAUCAAUUCAUCUGGAGAGGAUCGCAGGACAGCAGAUAGCACGCAGCUGAGCGUGUGCAGUUUGGAUAAAGUGACAGACGGUGAACUUAGUGGAGUGAGACAAUGUAUAGCUCCAGGCAGCAAAACUGAAUGGUGGGACUGUGACAGCUAUGCCGGCUCGGCUGCAGGGUGUGACGGCUGCACGGAGAAGACAGACACCUCGCAACUGGAGGCGCAGUAGAAAGAAUUAGCAGCUGCUAAUCAGAUCAGCGGGAGGCAGCUGUUCCCUCAUCGUCUCGAACAUCUGUUUAUCUUCUCAAACAAUUCAGGAAUUCACAAUAAGUCAGAGGGAGC
Poeciliopsis prolifica (blackstripe livebearer) is the source of this 663-nucleotide long non-coding RNA. RefSeq lists it as uncharacterized. NCBI's taxonomy places the organism in Eukaryota, Metazoa, Chordata, Actinopteri, Cyprinodontiformes, Poeciliidae. The transcript is spliced from 3 exons. The record is from RefSeq and is a predicted model, not a curated record.